RNAcentral lists this transfer RNA (73 nucleotides) under bacterium. RNAcentral's name for it is "tRNA-Ala". It matches the Rfam family "tRNA". Rfam says of the family: Transfer RNA (tRNA) molecules are approximately 80 nucleotides in length. Their secondary structure includes four short double-helical elements and three loops (D, anti-codon, and T loops). Further hydrogen bonds mediate the characteristic L-shaped molecular structure. tRNAs have two regions of fundamental functional importance: the anti-codon, which is responsible for specific mRNA codon recognition, and the 3' end, to which the tRNAs corresponding amino acid is attached (by aminoacyl-tRNA synthetases). tRNAs cope with the degeneracy of the genetic code in two manners: having more than one tRNA (with a specific anti-codon) for a particular amino acid; and 'wobble' base-pairing, i.e. permitting non-standard base-pairing at the 3rd anti-codon position. The record is from RNAcentral.
GGGGCCGUAGCUCAGGUGGGAGAGCGCUGGAAUCGCACUCCAGAGGCCAGGGGUUCAAAUCCCCUCGGCUCCA